CAUAGGCAGGGACACCUCCCUCUAGACCAGGUUGCUCACAGCCCCAUCCAGCCUGGCCUUGAAUGCUUCCAGGGAGGGAGCAUCCACAACCUCACUGGGCAACCUGUGCCAGUGUCUCACCACUCUUACAGUAAAGAAUUCUUCCAGGUAUCUGGAAAAUCUACCUUCUUCCACUUUAAAGCCAUUCCCCGUCGUCCUGUCUCUACAUGUCAUCCCUUAUAAAAAGUCCUGUGAUUUUGCCCAUGAGAAGAAAAUAUCAGUAUCCUCUUUCCUCCAGGGGAGAUCUCAGAGGGGAAGCAGACGUGCUGUUCCCAAAAAUAUGCUGUUCCUAAAACUAUUGGCUUGAUUCAGACCAAUACAAAAGGAGCUCAACAUCUAUUACAGCACUCAACAAACUAGGAUUUACAGCAGACAGCCUAAAGAGGCUGCCUAGCUGGGCAAGCCCAAGUGACGCAGCUUUACCACACACAGUAGUAGGAGCUGUGAGCAGAGAAGGGAUUCCAUCAGUAAAAUUCCACUAAGGAGGUGCUUAAAGAGAAUUCUGUCAUGUUACCAGUUUGUCAGCACUCCAGGAAGAAAGCACACAGACAGCACAGAGGGAACAGACCAUAACACCCUUCAAACCUCAGAAUUUCUUUCUAGAGGGAAAAAGAUCAUAUUAAAAGACUUCCAUUAUGUGUACCUACAAACUACUCUUUGUCAAAGUGUGAUAUUUGCAUAAUGACAUUCCAUCCCGGCUCUUGGAAUCUUCCAGGUGUGCGAGAAUGCCGUAGAAUUCAAAAUAUUACAUCUCCCUGGCUGGAGAUCUACGUGUUUUAUACAUUGGAACGCUCUCUGAAUUAAAAAGCAAGCUCCAUGUGCCACAUCUAUGCAGCAAAAUCAGUUUCAGAUGUAAGCUUCCAGAAGUUAUAAUACUCAGAAACCAGAAGAGAUAUUCUAUUGUAGAAACAUGCUGAUUACAGGCUGCUUCAACCUGCAGUUGAAGUUGCAUUUUCCACCACAUUCUUUUGAGCUACAAUUACCAAUGGCAAAAGCAAGGUUAUGCAGACAAAAAUACUCGUUGACAGCAUUUUUCCAGACCACUACUAAGAGUGGCUUUUCGGAUUUGCUCUUCCCAGGAGGAUUCCUUUCUCCAGAUGUUUGGUUUUUGUUUACGUUAAAAAAUCCUAGAGGUUCUUUUUCCUGAAUCAAUGAGGAGAAAAUCCAGCCUCAGCACAGAGCUACGAACAUCAGUUUGCAUUCCAGCACUUUCACGUUUCAGCACCUCAGAUUGCUUUUUUUGCUGUUGGGCCCCUUCUCAUUUUGGUUACUGAGUCUGACUGAAAAAAAAAAAAUCCUCACUGUUGAGCAGUUAGCUAUCUGUAUUAGCGAAACCACUACUAAACUGCUGUUUGUGCUGGUGUAGAUGACUUUCUCAAAGUCAUGUAAUCUAGGCAAUGCUGUUUUCAGUACUUACAUCUUUUAUUCAUGGCAAUUACCCUAAUGGGAGCUCUAGGGAAACCUCCCAGCACACAAAACGCUCCACAGUACAACGUUCCAAACAACCCAUUGCUCCAUCUGUGACACCACAAAGAAAACAGGGAGCAAUUUUCUACAUUAGCCGUGGCUUGCAAGGACUUCUUUGGGCAAUGGAGCAUAAUGCUGACACCCCCUGUGGACCAUAGCACCAAUGCUCCAUGUAUUUGAGCUCCAACACAACAGCAUUAGCAGCAAGGAUGAGUUGGAAAUCCAGAUACAAGGCAACGGGAAGCUGGGGAAGACAGAUAAACAGAAUCGUGCAAUGUAACAAUUUGCAUCUGCAGGGAAACUCAUUCUCAGAAGAGAGGUAACAAAGUUUGUCCUCAGCAUUCAUUCUCAGGAAAUCCUUUAUUUCAGAAUGCAAGGAGCAGGGAGAAGUUCACAGGACUGGCUCCCAUUCGGAGGUCACAUCAGGCAAUAACAGUAUUUUGCAAAAGAAAAAAAAAAAUUAGGCUUAGAAAAUACAAUUUCUCAAAACACAUGAGGCAAAUCAAAUCUCUUGGAGGAAGAACAGCUAAUUAAACUAAAUGCCAGUGUUGGCAUGAGCACAAAUAGUUUAAGACAGUCAUGAACAUAUUAGCACGGCAGUUCAGAGGACUACAGAGUUAAGUCAGAGUAAUGGAGAAAGGAAACCAAUUAACUCUCAAGAGGAACUUAAGUUCUUAUUCAAGAGAGUCUAAAACACGGUUGCCUGCAAUGUUAAGGCUUGAGCUUAAACACACUCAAGGCAGCUUGUUGUCAGCUUAAUUCUUGAGAGGACAAAAGGAAAGAGAUCUUCCAGUAAGAUAUGCAUAUCUGUAGCCAAUCCGACCACCCUUUCACGAGGUGUUAUCAAAGCCUCUUCAAAAUGAUAACAGCUAGAUGUACACUGCAUAUCAUAGUUCCAGCAGUCCCAGAGAUAAACCUGAAGAGCAGUAUUUGCCAACAACAUGUGUGUUUAGUCAGUGGGAGGCAGAAAAGCUUUUAUCUAGCUAGUUGCAAAGUGGAGGCUGGCGGUGGAACUAGGACCUUUGCAGAACUAGGGAAUAUCUAAUAGGGCAAUAUUAAAGGUGCUCUCACAAAUACUGAAGUGCUUUAUUGUAUUUCAGUUAAACGCCUACACGCUCUCCUGUGCAAUUUUCAUUAAUAUACAGUUGAAGAAAAGAAUCUACUUAUCUGCAAUUACAGUAUCAGACAACUGCUCAAGGCAGCCACAACAGGAAAACAUGAGAAGAUCUGCAUCAAACACUGCACCCACCUUACCCGUGCUUACCAGAACCAAGAAGACUCCUGUUGUUUUUCACCUGCAAUCUUAAAACAGUCUUACUGACAGCCUCACUGAUAUUAAGACAGGCAAAUAUUCUGGUUUACACAAAAUGCGCUUUGAACAAGAGAGCAAAAAUGUUAACAGUGAGAAGAAAAAAGUUAACAACGGAAAACUGGAAGAGGGAAGAACAUUUUGGUUGUAGCCUAAUCCCUCUAAUAAUGUAUGGCAGCUUGCCAUUUCUUUCAUAGGACUUGUCUGGCAGCAGCGCCUAGGAAUGUGAAUCUCCACGCCUGCUGUGGUAUACAUUAGGACAGCGGUUUCAAACAGAUGUGGUCUCUGGAAUAACAGGUUCAUAAAUUAAAGAGGAACCUAAAAGAAGCGCAUCUAAAUGGUUCUUCUCCUCUGACCACUGUUCAUCAGAUUGACUUUAGAUGCCAAGCCAUUUAUUCUCAACUGUCUAAAGUACAAAACUACUCACAAGAUCUUGAGUUCUUUACUAAGCAGCUUCAAAAUUACAGACAUUUCAGCAAGUUAACAAUAACGUGUAUAUUUCAUUAUAAAUUGUGAGGCUCUGAUUCUGGUUAUGUUUCCUUACACAUCAUACCACUGGCACCAGCAUACUGUUUGAAUGAAUAAUUAUUCAUAUGCAAGAACUUCAUCCUUCCAGUUGAUAAUUAUCAAUGAUUGCGAAACAAAUAAUAUAUUCUCAAGGCAAGGGACUUGAAAUAUCAUGGUGAAAAUGGCUUAGUCCUCUGGAUUUCUGAAGGCAGAGCAUUGUUUCUUGUAAACUAUUAUUCUCAUCUCCCUUCACAGAGGGAGCAGACUCCCUCCAAAAGGAGAGCGGGGAGGCUAACAAGACACAAGCUCCCAGCAUCACUGUCUCAUUCUCUAUGCAUUAGACUCACAAGUGGUACUGCUCAAUAGAGUGUUUUUAUGUCCUGCCUGAAAACAGAUUCAAAUAAAACUCUGCAUUAUUUAAGAGAGAUUGGAGGCAAACUGGUUAUGUUGUAGGAAGUCGUCUUCUGACCGUACAUGUGCUUAUCUGGCACACUUCUGUAUUUGAUGGCUAGCUCCUUCUGAAUUUUCCCCAUUGUAACUACAGAUUCAAAUCCUAGGAUGUGUUAUCUACGUUAAUCCCAAUGAUAUGGACGGUCAAAAAAGGGAUUAAAAAACCUGCUGAAAAAUGUAUUCCUGUUUUAAGUAAGUUUUAGCCUUAGCAAAUCAAAGUUAUGGUAGUCCCAAUACAGAGGAGUUGAGAACUUUAGGUAUUGGAGACUUCGGCAGAGCUACCCUACCUCUACCCCAUCUCUGUGCUCUCCGGUACUAGCACAUAUGUGGGCAUUUUCCAUCUACCACUGAAGACUAGAAGUAACCAAAGCAGUACAGCAAAUUAACAAGUAUUUCCUAUCAAAUGGUUACUGGGAAGUGACACAUUUCCUACUUGUUGGUUAAAUAAUCUUUUAUAGAUGAAAACAACACUGAACUGCAGUUUCUGUAGUCACUGUGCAGUCCAGAAUGUUGCAGAAGGCCUUCUAAACAAGAGGACCUGUUGCAUCUCUGCAAGUAGGGACUCUUUUCCUAUUCUCACUCAUUUAUCAACUGGGGGUCUCCUUAGUUAAGCAAGGACAGCAACCAUUAUUGACACACUGGUUUUCCCUCACGGUGUCUGUAAAACUAGGAACCUUCGGGCUGUCAGGCUGCCUCUUUUAAGCAUCAGAGAAUUGCUGCUCAGGUCAGUGGUGACAGCACAUUUCCUCUGCAGGAGGGUACACAGCAUAGCUUGGUGGGACGGCUUGAGCACAACACUGCCAAAUCAGGAGGGCAGCAUUUCACAUUGUCCUUGCCUCAGAAUCAACCCUUACUCAUCUUUUUAACUCACUCCUUUUCGUAUGACACUUGAGGCUCCCUGCAUUUUGGCCACCAACCUUAUUGUAACUAUGGCUUAGUUCAACUUACUGUACACAAAUAGCCAGCAAACAAACCGAGCCCUCUGGCUGUCCUUUCUCACGAGAUGACAGACUAACCACAAACCUCGGACACUCACUCAUGCACAUUUCUUAGCUUAGAAUUACCUAGCUAAUAAUUGAUGUCAUCUGAAGGCUCCUAGGAAAGCUUGCGUCAGUUAAUCCAGUCCUCGCUACAGAAACUGAGGCACACACCUGUCUGAAAGCAGGCUUUUACACAGAACCCAACUACCAGCAGAAAUCAGGCGCCGGUGAAAAAGGAAUGUUCUUCAGGACUCCUGCAGUCAUGGGAACAGUAAGUGAGAUAAGGAGAGAGAAAAGUCAGCCUGGAGAUGUUUCUGGUUUUGCAGGAGUGGCUCAUUCUUUACGAAGAUAGCAAUGCAAGGCACUGCCCAGUGGCUGUGGCACACCUUCAAGAAGAGAGGGAAACCGGAGCCCCUGAACCACUCAAUGCAAGAGGAUUCAAACACACAUCCCCUCAUUUACCAAGCUACACGGCAGUCUGUGAAGGUUUUGUUUUGUUCACUUUUAACCCUUCCUAAGAGCACUACCAAACUGGCUAUCUAACUAAAAGUUAAUUAAAGAUGCGUUGCAACCUUGUGAGCAGAA
This is a long non-coding RNA of Numida meleagris (helmeted guineafowl), 5337 nucleotides long. RefSeq lists it as uncharacterized. Lineage: Eukaryota; Metazoa; Chordata; Aves; Galliformes; Numididae. The record is from RefSeq and is a predicted model, not a curated record. The transcript has 3 exons.